UCCCAAAGCUAGACUUCUAAGGAAAAGUAACUUGCCAGUCCCCUUAAAAUAUGUAACUAAAAGCUAUCUACACUUUUAUAUUUUAAAUAUAUUGUUGGGGCUUCAUUUCAAAUUGGUAUACUGUAAAACUGUUUCAGAUAGCUUUAAAUCCAAGGCAGUGGCUUUCAAACUCCUUUGACAGCAACUUACAAAAAAAAAAAAUGAAAUAAUUUUUAUAUAAACCACUAUACAGACACACACACACACAAAACUAAUACAAAAGUUUUAUGAAACUUUACUUCCCCUUAUUACAUGUGAUACCCUCUAAUAUUAUCUACUCCAUUUUGUUUCAUUGUUUAUUAAGUGCUUGUCAUAAUCUAGUCACAUAGGUCAGGACGUGCAGUUUGAAAAACACUCUUCUCAAAUUAUGGAUUCCACGUACUCUAGCUGGUAGUCUCUUGUCCAGAUUUUUAAAAGGCUCAUCAAAAAGCAGGAUUUGCUAAAGGAACUUCAGUCCCCAUUACAGCACUGUCUUUGGGAUUCCUACCAUAAGUUUCCAGAUGAAUAAGCAGCUUUUCCUUUGCAGAAUUGUGAUGUAAGUUCAAGAGCAAGUGCACAGGACGUAAAAUAAGAAUAGAGUUGAAAAAGGAGGAACAUCUCCAAAUGCAAUGUGUGUCCCUCUGGAAAACAUAAAGCAGCCUAGAGUGAGGUGAGGGAGACAAAACAGAAAAAAAAACUAACAGAGAAAAGAUCAAGCUUGCAGCAUCAUAUCUCCAGGCUUUGCAAGGUGCACUUGUACUUUCAACCCCAUGAGACAGAGUGAUGUUCAGCAUGACUCCACUAAUCAUGUGGCCUUGAGUAUCUCAGCAGACAUCAGUUAAGUCAUUUAAAAGGAUAACUGCAACUUAAAUUAGUUCAUCCUAUUUAUGCAAAAAUGGUAAAUUCAAAUAAGCAAGGUAAUUUGCUUCUAUUUAUUUCAAUUUUAAAAUUUUUUUAAUCACUUGGCAUCUCAAAUCAAAGCAAAUGGGUAAUAUUAUCAAUUAUAUCUUAAAUACGUAAACAUAUGAACUGAUUUAAAACUCUUAUUUGAUAUGCACUUGUUAACAUUUGCACUAGAGUAGGGAACCACAUUCAAGACUUAAAACUUAAAACAGGGUCAUGUCCUUGAAAACAAAAGAACGUCGUCAGAAAAGCCCCCUUGUGAGAAUCUAGCAACAGAGUGAGUCCCUAAAAUCUGUUAAGCUAUUCCACAGGGAAAGUAUGGUAGAUCACACUAGUAAAGGCAAAACUGUGGAAGCUUAUGAAAUAUUUAUCAAGGGAAAUGUUUGAUAAAUAAUAAAAAUAUUCAGUUUUAGGAAGGAGUAUGAUGAGCUUCAACAUGGUUGCACUUAUGAGCACAGAACUUUCAUAGGAAAGAAAGAAGUAGAAAUUUAUUGAGUAUGUUUUGUCAGGCAUCACUAAAUACUUUCAAAUACAUUAUAGCAUUGGAAACUGGGAAUCAGAGAUGUUAAGUAACUUGUCCUAGGUCACACAGUGAUAAAUGACAGAGCUAGAAUUUAAACUUGAUCUUCUAAUUACACAUCAGUUUUUUUUCACGUUGAUAAUCAUUUUAUCCUGAAGCAGUACUCCAGAUAUGAUAAUGCUUAAAAUAUUUGCUUAAGCAUUUCCUAGGAUUUCUGAUCAAGGUGAAUUCAGAUUUCAGUUUCAAGGCUAAUGAAUGAUAAAGUGAUCUUUAAAAUAAAGAAAAUAGAUUAUAAAUAUGCAUGCAUUCUGAGUGGCAUAUGAAUCUCUCAAACAUUUGAUGAAGUGUUCUUCACGUCUCAUGUAAGGAUGAAAGAAAUUAUCUAUUGUGUAACAAACCACACCAAAGUGUAGUAGCUUAAAACAGGAACUUUUUUUUUUUUAAAGAUUUUAUUUUUUCCUUUUUCUCCCCAAAGCCCCCCAGUACAUAGUUGUAUAUUCUUCGUUGUGGGUCCUUCUAGUUGUGGCAUGUGGGACGCUGCCUCAGCGUGGUUUGAUGAGCAGUGCCAUGUCCGCGCCCAGGAUUCGAACCAACGAAACACUGGGCCGCUUGCAGCGGAGCGUGCGAACUUAACCACUCGACCACGGGGCCAGCCCCAAAACAGGAACUUUUUAUUGUCUCUUAUUGUUCUGUGGGUUGGCUGUGGUUGGCCUGACAGUUCUCUCCUGGGGUCUCUUAGGAAGUGCAGUCAGAUGUCAGCUGGGACUGCGAUCAUCUAUAGGCUCAACUGGGCUGGACUUCAAGAUGGUUCACUUCUAGGAUGGCAGGGGAUGCUGGCUAUCUUACUUGGGGCUGCCAACUUGAGGGCCUACAUGUGGCCUCUUUAUGUGACUUGGGCUUCUCUCAAAGUGAUGGCUGGGUUCCAAAAGAAAGCAUCCCAGAAGAAAUGUUCCAAAAGACCUAGGCUUCUUAUGGCUUAGCUUCAAAAGUCCCAGAAACUCUCUUCCACAGCACUCUGUUGGUUGAGCCAGUCACUGAGGCCUAGGCAGAGGGACGUAGACUCUGCCUUUUGAUAUGAGAAGCAGCAGGCAAUAAGGGAGGGAGGGAGACUGCCCAUCUCACCUUAGUCUUUAGCCUCCCAUCCUGGCAUCUCUACUUUAUGCAACUGAGUUAGAAGGGGAAAUAUAUAAUACAACUACAAUAACACAAAUUAUUGUGUGGUGUUUUCCUAUUUUUUUGGCACUGUCUCUUUCUCUGGAAGCACAGCCCUUCUUAAAUGAAUGAAUAAAUGAAAGUCUCUGGUCCUCCCCUUCCCAUUCUACUCUUUUGUUCCCUCGUUGCCUCUCUUCUGUUUUCUAUCCUUCUUUCUAACUGAAGAUAAAGGGUGUAAAAACAUUUUUUUUUUAAAAGAAGCAAUGUACUCUAAUCAGUUAAUUAACCUUAUGGUUAAUUUCUCCCCAAAUCUACCAUUUGAUAUCUGCCUGACUGAUUCAAUCAUCAUUCUAUAUAGGAAGGUAAUAAGAUAAUUUCUUUAAAUGCAGGCAAAGGAACAAGAGGGAAAAACGGGAAAGAAAAAGUAGGUUACCAAAGGAGGAAGGAAAAUAUAAAUGGGAAGUGAAACAAAUCAGGAAGGUUGAAUGAUAUUAAACCCAAAAGGCUGAAAAAACAAAAGGAAAGAAGCCAGAUUCUCCCCUUAUAAUACUGUGUCCAUCCUGCCUUCCUUUCCAGUCCAUUGCCACCCAUCACUAGCCGAGUCUAACCUUGUUUCUUAAUGCCUGAAUUAUUGCUGUGUCAUCUUACCUACUCUCCCUGCCUACGGUCUUUAUCCUCUUAGAAACCAUCAAAAGCACCAUUUUCCUCAUGGUGCUCCCAAUUUAAACAAAAAGAAAAAAAAGAAACACUAAAUGACUGCUGAAGAAUGAAAUCCAAUAUAAGCAUUUGAAUGAUUUUCAUAAUCUGACCUAACCUUCCUUGCCAUUGUUUCUCAAGUCUUCCCUACAUGAAACUAUUGACUCAACCAGGACGCUCUACUCACUGAAUCCAAAUACACAGAAAAAUGAGCCUAGAUCCCACUGUUUAUUACAUCAUGAAAAAUAUCAAACCUGAAACAAGGAAAAAUAAUUAAUAAACAGCAAAAAUCUGUUUCACAAAGCAGUGUGGCAACAUUGUAAGCUUAUAAUUACAGCACUUGUGGUCCAGAUCACUUCUUAGGCAUACAGCCUUCUUUUUGUCUUCUGUCCUUUGCUCUAACAGAUCCUAUCACCAGGAGUUUUCCCUGCUGCUGUCUGCCUUAGCAAAUCCUGUCUCACCGGAACCCGCAAGAAGUCCUCCUCUUCAUGGAAACUGAUGGUAGUUGAUUAAUCUGGAAGAAGUGUGAUUAGCAGGAUUAUUCUGGAUCUGAAGUACCUUGUUAACACUACAGCAUCUUAUUGGCUUCUCUAUGGAGACCUAAACACUAAAGUUCCAUUUCAGUUUUUACUCUCUAAAUUUGUUGAGUAUACAGUAGUUUAAAGGACCGUUUCACCCCAGUUUGAUAGAUAAUUCAACUAGCAUCCAAUCAUUUGUACAACUUUGAUUUGCAAUAAUUAUGAACAGUAAUUAGAGAAACAGUUAAAAAACACCAUUGCUAAUAUAACUCUGGGAGCAUGAUAUAAGUGGGCUUUUUAAAAAAUAGGGUAUUUGAAGAUAAUAAUGGGUGCAGUCCAUGAUCAAAGAGAUCUUGUGAUAAGAGAAGUUUAUUUUCAGGUAUAAUUAAAGCUGUAGAUACCAUUUUGAAAGUACAGACUUUAGGGAGCAAGGGAAGAGAGUUUUUGAAGCAUAGUAUAAAUCAGGAAUAAUUUCAUUGAUGAUUAUGAAAUGCCAACAUCCAUUUUAUUAUGAGGAGCUGUCUCCUUUGUAGUUCCAUUGAUUCCAGGAAAGCAUUAGUAUAAGACCAAAGGCAGCUUUGCGACGAAUGCUUUUGAAGGGUAUUAAAGAGUAGAGUGAUUGGCAGUUAGCAAACAUAAAAGUGAACUAAUGAGUGAAUGUUCUGAUCACCCAUAGAAAUUGUACACUUCAAAAUAUCUUAUUGAAAAAACUAAUUUUCGUUUUCACGUCCAAUGUUGAAUGUGCAUGCAGUUGUUUUUAUUGUUUAAUCUAUUUUCAUUUAAAACUGGGUAAAACUAAACUUUUUGGAGCAGUUUACAAAGGUGAUAAAAUUAUAACAAAAAGUAGGUUAUCAGAACAGGAGAGUGGAGGCUUCUGGGGCACUAUCAGUGUUUUGUGACUUGACACGGGUGGUAGUUCAUUUUCCUUGUUUAUUUUUUAUGCAUUUUACUGUUCAUGAAGCAGUUAUGUAGAAAACCCACUGAUAGUAGUGCCCCGUUCACCUUCAAGACUUUAUUAGCCCACGGGUGUCAAUUACUGCCAUAAUCUGGGCUUUGCUCACGUUCCCUUUUGCCCAUAUGAAGUGGUUGUACAUUAAGAGAUGACUUCUUGGGGCCAGCCCAAGUGGCCUAGUGGUUAAAUUCAGUGUACUCUGCUUUGGCGGCCAGGGUUCCGGGGCACAGACCUACGUCACUCAGCAGUGCCCAUGCUAUGGUGGCAGCUCAGAUAGAAGGAGAAAAGGGGGAAGAUUGGCAACAGAUGUUAGCUCAUGGCAAAUCUUCCUCCACAAAACCAAAAAGAGAUGACUUCUUGUUAUAGAAGAAAUAGUGAGCGUGGUCUGGCCCUCGGUGAUAUUUCAAAACAGUCCUAUGAAUGGACAUGAGAAGAGGUCCUUCUUCUGCCAAGGAUCAAGUCUUAUACUUUGUGUUAUUUAAAGUACCUGAUGCAGUGCUACAAAACUAGUGUGUAUUCAUGCAUUCAUUUGACAGAUAUUUAUUGACUUACCUACCACUUGAAUCCUUGGAAAACUAGAGCAGUUUGCCAACUAAUAUAGUUAAAUGAUAGUUUAUAAGUGCUAUAUAGACACUAGAGAUUCAGCAGUUUCUCCUGCCUAUCAGAUUUAUUUUGGCUAGUGGAUAUCACUCUCACUCUCAUUGAAGUCUUAGAAAGGGAUUCUAGAAGAGGAUUGACCAGUUAGAAGGUGGAGACUUAAUAAAAAUGGAAAGAGUCAAAGACAGGAGGGAUAAAAGCAGCAGAGGAAGAAGGAGGCAGAGACUGGACAGCCAGCAAGUCCUUAGUGCCCUGUACAGUUUAAGUUGAGUCACGUAUUCUUCCUGUUUUCUUGUUAGAUCCUUCCUCUUGCCCAUGAACCCACCUGGAGGAGUCAAGCCCAGCAUGGAUGCCAGUGAGUUGGGUCAAAGCCAGGGAAAGGUCCUGGGAUCAAGAACUGGAUGAGUAGAGUGAAAAUUUCUGAUCAGCCAGAAGUAGAAAGAGCCAGAAGAUAAACCAAACCCAUUUUCCAAGGAGUGCCAAAGGUGAAAAGCAGGAAAGCCAAAAUACUCAUCAAGACCAAAGGGGGAGCACAGAGCCAGAAGCUGGGAGGAGAAAGGGAGUCAAGAAAGUCAAUGCCAGCUCAAAGGAGGAUUUUUUUCUAUGAGGUCCACACUUGAUAUUCUGAGUCAGAAGUCCUCUCCUCAAGGAGGGUAUCGACUCUGAGGCCAACAGUCACGCCUGUGCUCUCUCAGAGAGGAGCCUGUAUCCUGGGACAGAGCUCAGACUCCAGUCGCUGCUCAGAGGCUCAGCCCUGCUCUCCUGAUCUGCCCAACACACAGGAAGCCUUCGUCAAGUGAUACCUGAAAUGGGAAUGUGACUCAUGAUCAAGUGCUGGGAACUCUUUUCUCCUGCACAGAUCCCAAACUCUAAAUAACCCGAUCCAGGAGUGCAGAAUCACUGAGUUUGGGAUCUUAUCCUGGAAUCCUUCACCCCUCUCGGUGGACUGUGAACUUCCUAGGGAAACAUUCCAGGCUGAACCCCUAGCCCUGCCCAGCCUAUUCCCCUAGAAGGAUGCUAUUCUAUCCUCUACUCAGACUUUCCAUCUUAGGUGUCUCUCUGAGCCAACUAAACUCAUUUUAAAAUAUGAGAAUAGAGAUAGAAACAGCAAUAAAGAGUCCUUGUUGGGGGCUUGCUGAGAGUUCCUUACCUUUUGGAAGUCUUUGGUUUUCCAGAAGGUUGGUAAAGUUGGAAUCCCCACCAGGUAGCCCAGGAACAGAAGGAGCAACCCCAACCCACAUAGGAAGGUGAGGUUGGAAUGAGUAUCCAGGAAUGUUGACCCAAAGCUCAGACAUGACUCAAUAGGGCUAUUCAGAAAUGAGAGAAAAGUCCCUUGUCUGAACUCCAUUGUCUGAAUCACAAGGCUACCUGAGGGAACUGGGCUCUGAGGGUGCAGUCAUUUGACUAUAGUCCCAGGCCUGCAUUACAGAGCAUUGAAGUGUCACAAAGAGUUUUAGAGUGUGGGGGAGGGGACAGCAUGAAGAGGGGUACCCACAGCCCCUUCCCCACCCCCCAGACUGGCAGAUCUCUCCACCCCUCCUGGGCCCUCUCUGUCCUUCUAUACCUUGCCUGUCAUCCUGUUUUCCAGCUCCACCCUUUCAUCAUAUCAUAUAUUUACUUCAAUGAAAUUUUCUGCUUCUUUCAUCUGUACCCCAGAUAUCACCUGGGUCCUCCUUUACUCUUUGGAGAACUUGACUUGGGUCUCACCAAUUCUACUGCCUUGAAAGUCUGAAAUGCUGCCUGGAAUUUUUGCCUGUCCCGAGACAUUUACACUCAGGAUCAUAUAUGGCCUCAAAUUCAUCUUCCCUAUAGAAUGUUUUUGCCUUACAUGAAUCCAGAUAUAGAACUUAAAGUUCUACACUUAUUUAGCUUUGUGAAUAUUCAAUAGCAAAUUUUAGUUUUUUGCUUCAGUCAACCUUUAUCAUUGUCAAUCAGAGAGGCUGACUCAAAUAAUUAAAAUGAGUAAUUCCUUAUUCAACAUUUGCAAAACUAAAAUCAGUACAGAUGUAUGUCGCUUAACAAUGGGGAUAUGUUUUGAGAAAUGCCAUUAGGCAAUUUGAUUGUUGUGUGAACAUCAUAGAGUGUACUUACACAAACCUAGAUGCUGUAGCCUACUAUACACCUAGGCUCUAUGGUAUUAGUCUUAUGGGACCACCAUGGUAUAUGUGGUCUGUUGUUGACCAAAAUAUGGUUAUGAGGCACAUGACUAUAUGGGCGACAGAGCAGGAGCAUUGGUGAUGUGGAAGUGAAGUUUCCCAGGUGGCUAGUUCCUCAGUUUUGCUUCUGUUGCCUCCUCUAGAAAUUAAAGUCAUUUUGAAAAUAAUGGCAAUGGUUGUGCUAUGGACUGUAGCUCAAUCUGUUUGGACUUUGGUUUCACAAUAAAACAGAGAGUACUUUUCUCCCUAACCUCUAGGACGUUGAAGUUUAAUGCCAUCAUGAGGGACAGUGCAGUGACCUUUGGGAGAUAAGUUGCUCUGUCAUACAAGCUGAGCCAGUAGCAUUCUCGCCCCAAAGCCUUUGUAUUUAAAUGGACUUCUCUAAUCAACUUUCCAGAAACAAGUUGUUUUUGUAAGACCAGGAUUUCAUUAGAACAUCAGUGUAUCUAAUAGUAAAAUGGUACUUUCUGAUCUUCUAUCACAUUUUCUAGACUCUUUAUUUGCCCCAC
Molecule: long non-coding RNA, 8021 nt
Filed under: Equus asinus (donkey)
Lineage: Eukaryota; Metazoa; Chordata; Mammalia; Perissodactyla; Equidae
Description: lncRNA (ENSEASG00005032433.1)
Source: RNAcentral